CCUCAUGUGGCCCCUGUUGGUUCCUGUUUUAGGACAGGCGAAGAGGGAAUGCGAUAGAUCGCCGUUUGAUCAAAGCGCAGCCGCCCCCGCGACCGUGACCGGAGAGGUCGCCGCGCCACUGGCACAAUGCCGGGAAGGUGGGUGAACCGCCGGGGCAAACGCCCCGAUAUCCGCAAGCCGGGAGACCUGCCAACGAAGUGAGUUGCAAC
This 209-nucleotide non-coding RNA is filed under the name Pelagimonas varians. Lineage: Bacteria; Pseudomonadati; Pseudomonadota; Alphaproteobacteria; Rhodobacterales; Roseobacteraceae. The record is from RNAcentral.